This is a long non-coding RNA of Anolis carolinensis (green anole), 853 nucleotides long. RefSeq lists it as uncharacterized. The transcript has 2 exons. Lineage: Eukaryota; Metazoa; Chordata; Lepidosauria; Squamata; Anolidae. The record is from RefSeq and is a predicted model, not a curated record.
AGGCGCCUCCGCCAGGCCCAGGCUUCGGGCCUACCUGCAGGCCUCACGCCAGGGGGCGGGGCCAGCGCGGGCAGGGCACGCAUGCGCGGUCGUGCCCUGGGCCUGGCUCCUUUUAACCCCAUAAGAUAGUAUUUCUGGUCGCACUGGGGUCAGAUUUAUCUCCCCAAAAUGGUUUUUUAGGGCCCGGAUUUUUAUGUCAAGGGUCAGAUUUUUAAAGGCCAGAUCUGUCCCCCCAAAAUGGGCUUUUAGGGGUAUGUUUACCUCCCCAAAAUGGGUUUUUAAGGGUCAGAUUGAACCUCCAAAAUGGUCUUUUUGGGCCCAUAUUUAUUAUAUUUCUGAGGUCAGAUUAAUUUCCCCCAAAAUGGGCUUUUAGGAGCUAUAUAUAUAUAUAUGUGUAUGUAUUUAUAUUUAUAUAUUCAGAUUGAACCCCAAAAAUGGUCUUUCUGGGCCCAGAUUUAUAUUUCUGAGGUCAGAUUAAUUCCCCCCAAAAUGGGUUUUUAGGGCUUUGUUUACCUUCCCCAAAUGGGCUUUUUAGGGGUCAGAGUGAACCCCCAAAAUGGUCUUUCUGGGCUCAGAUUUGCCUUUCUGAGGUCAGAUUAAUUCCCCCCAAAAUGGGUUUUUAGGGCUUUGUUUACCUUCCCCAAAUGGGCUUUUUAGGGGUCAGAUUGAACCCCCAAAAUGGGCUUUCUGGGCUCAGAUUUGCUUUUCUGAGGUUAGAUUAAUUCCCCCCAAAAUGGGUUUUUAGGGCUUUGUUUACCUUCCCCAAAUGGGCUUUUUAGGGGUCAGAUUGAACCCCCAAAAUGGGCUUUCUGGGCUCAGAUUUGCCUUUCUGAGGUCAGAUUAAUGCCCCCCC